UACGGAGGGUGCAAGCGUUAUCCGGAUUCACUGGGUUUAAAGGGUGCGUAGGUGGGUUGAUAAGUCAGUGGUGAAAUCCCCGAGCUUAACUUGGGAACUGCCAUUGAUACUAUUGAUCUUGAAUACCGUGGAGGUCAGCGGAAUAUGUCAUGUAGCGGUGAAAUGCUUAGAUAUGACAUAGAACACCAAUUGCGAAGGCAGCUCACUAAGCAAAUAUUGACGCUGAGGCACGAAAGCGUGGGGAUCAAACAGG
Molecule: ribosomal RNA, 253 nt
Filed under: uncultured bacterium
Lineage: Bacteria
Description: partial 16S ribosomal RNA
Rfam family: Bacterial small subunit ribosomal RNA
Source: RNAcentral